Acipenser ruthenus (sterlet) is the source of this 380-nucleotide RNA transcript. RefSeq lists it as uncharacterized. NCBI's taxonomy places the organism in Eukaryota, Metazoa, Chordata, Actinopteri, Acipenseriformes, Acipenseridae. The transcript has 3 exons. The record is from RefSeq and is a predicted model, not a curated record.
GCCCGGUAGACAGCGCUGCUCCGGUGUCAACUUCGGCCUCGCUGCGGGUGAGACUGGCUGCUCGGCUGCCACGUAAUCCCAGAGACCAGUGAUAUACGGGGCGGGGGGGGGAGGCUGCAGCCUAAGGAAGGCAGACAGAGUGAGCUGGAAGAAGCCAUAGAGUACAGUGUUUCUGGAAACUGGUGUAAAAAAGAAAAAGGAGCCUUGAAUACAUUUAAAAAAUACAAACAUAUCGCCCGCUUUUACAGCUGCUGCAGAAAGACACUACUGCAACAACAACGAACGAAACGGUGACAGAAGUGACAAUUCAAUCCUGCCAUACACAAGACCACCACUUUGCUCGGUUGACAGCUUUGCGUGCCCGGUCACUGUUCUUUUAG